ACGGGGCCCGCACAAGCGGUGGAGUAUGUGGUUUAAUCGAUGCAACGCGAAGAACCUUACCUGGUCUUGACAUCCCGGAGACCCUUAGGAAACUAGGGGGUGCUUCCAUCUGGAAGAAUCUGGAGACAGGUGCUGCAUGGCUGUCGUCAGCUCGUGUCGUGAGAUGUUGGGUUAAGUCCCGCAACGAGCGCAACCCUUGCCUUUAGUUGCCAGCAGUUCGGCUGGGCACUCUAAAGGGACUGCCGGUGUUAAACCGGAGGAAGGUGGGGAUGACGUCAAGUCCUCAUGGCCUUUAUGACCAGGGCUACACACGUACUACAAUGGCCGAUACAAAGGGCAGCGACACUGCGAGGUGAAGCCAAUCCCGUAAAAUCGGUCUCAGUCCGGAUUGGAGUCUGCAACUCGACUCCAUGAAGUUGGAAUCGCUAGUAAUCGUGGAUCAGCAUGCCACGGUGAAUACGUUCCCGGGCCUU
This 473-nucleotide ribosomal RNA is filed under the name uncultured Desulfobulbus sp. RNAcentral describes it as "bacterial SSU rRNA". It matches the Rfam family "Bacterial small subunit ribosomal RNA", at positions 916 to 1381 of the family's 1533-position model. The record is from RNAcentral. Lineage: Bacteria; Pseudomonadati; Thermodesulfobacteriota; Desulfobulbia; Desulfobulbales; Desulfobulbaceae.